GGUCAAGUUAUUAAGGGUGCAGGGCGGAUGCCUUGGCACUAGGAGCCGAUGAAGGACGUGAUAAGCUGCGAUAAGCUUCGGGGAGUUGCACGUAAACUUUGAUCCGAAGAUUUCCGAAUGAGGAAACUCACUUAGAGUAAUGUCUAAGUAUCAUUAAGUGAAUACAUAGCUUAAUGAGGGGAACUCAGGGAACUGAAACAUCUAAGUACCUGAAGGAAGAGAAAGAAAUUCGAUUCCGUAAGUAGCGGCGAGCGAACGCGGAUUAGCCCAAACCAAUAAAGUUUUCUUUAUUGGGGUUGCGGACAUAUCAUAACGAAGAGGUAUCGUAAUUGAAGAGGUUUGGAAAGACCCACCACAGAAGGUAAUAGUCCUGUAUGUUAAACGAGAAGACUUCAGAUAUGAUCCAGAGUACCACGGGACACGUGAAACCCUGUGGGAAGCAGGAGGGACCACCCUCCAAGGCUAAAUACUACCUAGUGACCGAUAGCGUAUAGUACCGUGAGGGAAAGGUGAAAAGAACCCCGGGAGGGGAGUGAAAUAGAACCUGAAACCCUGCACUUACAAGCUGUGGAAGCACAUUUCUUGUGUGACCGCGUACUUUUUGUAGAACGGGCCAACGAGUUACGUUAAGUAGCAAGGUUAAGCACUUAAGGUGCGGAGCCGUAGCGAAAGCGAGUUUUAACUGAGCGUUCAGUUACUUGACGUAGACCCGAAACCGGGCGACCUACCCAUGAGCAGGAUGAAGCGAAAGUAAAAUUUCGUGGAGGUCCGAACCCACGAGCGUUGAAAAGCUCGGGGAUGACUUGUGGGUAGCGGUGAAAUUCCAAUCGAGCCCGGAGAUAGCUGGUUCUCCCCGAAAUAGCUUUAGGGCUAGCCUCAAGGUGAGAGAUACGGAGGUAGAGCACUGAAUGUCCUAGGGGGUAUUGCACCUACCGAAGACUAUCAAACUCCGAAUGCCGUCAUCUUAUACUUGGGAGUCAGACUGUGGGUGAUAAGAUUCAUAGUCGAAAGGGCAACAGCCCAGAUCGUCAGCUAAGGUCCCUAAAUGUAAGUUAAGUGGUAAAGGAUGUGGGAUUGCACAGACAACCAGGAUGUUGGCUUAGAAGCAGCCACUCAUUCAAAGAGUGCGUAAUAGCUCACUGGUCGAGUGAUCCUGCGCCGAAGAUUUCCGGGGCUAAAACUUACUACCGAAGCUACGGCAUCAGUAAUGAUGGGUAGGGGAGCUUCCCAUACGGGUUGAAGCAUGACCGUAAGGACAUGUGGACAGUAUGGGAGUGAGAAUGUUGGCAUGAGUAGCGAGAUGUGGGUGAGAAUCCCACAGGCCGUAAACCCAAGGUUUCCAGGGGAAGGUUCGUCCGCCCUGGGUUAGUCGGGACCUAAGCUGAGGCCGAAAGGCGUAGGUGAUGGACAACAGGUUGAUAUUCCUGUACUACCGAUAACCGUUUGAGAGAAGGGAUGACACAGUAGGAUAAGCUAAGCACACUGUUGGUUAUGUGUGCCCAAGCAUUGAGGCAGUCAAAGUAGGCAAAUCCGCUUUGAUAAUGCUGGGAUGUGAUGGGGAGCGAAAUUUAGUAGCGAAGUAGCUGAUUUCACACUGUCAAGAAAAGUCUCUAUCGAGGUUAAAGGUACCCGUACCGCAAACCGACACAGGUGGGUGAGGAGAGUAUCCUAAGGCCAGCGAGAGAACUGUUGUUAAGGAACUCGGCAAAAUGACCCCGUAACUUAGGGAUAAGGGGUGCCACCAUCAGGUGGCCGCAGAGAAUAGGCCCAAGCGACUGUUUACCAAAAACAUAGGUUUCUGCUAAGUCGCAAGACGAUGUAUAGGAGCUGACGCCUGCCCGGUGCUGGAAGGUUAAGGGGAUCUGUUAGAGCAAUCGAAGCAGUGAACUUAAGCCCCAGUAAACGGCGGCCGUAACUAUAACGGUCCUAAGGUAGCGAAAUUCCUUGUCGGGUAAGUUCCGACCCGCACGAAAGGCGUAACGAUUUGGGCACUGUCUCAACAACAGACUCGGUGAAAUUGUAAUUCCGGUGAAGAUGCCGGAUACCUGCGACAGGACGGAAAGACCCCAUGGAGCUUUACUGUAGCUUGACAUUGGGUCUUGGUACUACAUGUACAGGAUA
This 2121-nucleotide ribosomal RNA is filed under the name Clostridioides difficile. Its description in RNAcentral is "partial 23S ribosomal RNA". It matches the Rfam family "Bacterial large subunit ribosomal RNA", at positions 1 to 2145 of the family's 2925-position model. The record is from RNAcentral. Lineage: Bacteria; Bacillati; Bacillota; Clostridia; Peptostreptococcales; Peptostreptococcaceae.